Molecule: ribosomal RNA, 1140 nt
Filed under: Circinella minor
Lineage: Eukaryota; Fungi; Mucoromycota; Mucoromycetes; Mucorales; Lichtheimiaceae
Description: SSU rRNA
Rfam family: Eukaryotic small subunit ribosomal RNA
Source: RNAcentral
CAAAGAUUAAGCCAUGCAUGUCUAAGUACUAGCAUUAAUACUGUGAAACUGCGAAUGGCUCAUUAAAUCAGUUAUGAUCUACUUGGCAUUCUAACUGCUUUGCUGCUGGAUAACCGCGGUAAUUCUGGAGCUAAUACAUGUGUAUAUAACGGUCGACGCCGUUGCGUAUAUUAGAUAAAAACCAACCUGGGGUAAAACCUGGUCUUUGGUCGCUCAUAGUAUCCUUGCCGGUCUUCAGUUUAAUCUGGAGCCAGUUCAUUCGAUUUUCUGCCCUAUCAUUGCUUUUGAUUGCACGAUCGAGGCGUGCAAUGGCUUCUACGGGUAACGGGGAAUAAGGGUUCGAUUCCGGAGAGGGAGCCUGAGAAACGGCUACCACAUCCAAGGAAGGCAGCAGGCGCGCAAAUUACCCAAUCCCGACACGGGGAGGUAGUGACAAUAAAUAACAAUGCAGGGCUUUAUAGUCUUGCAAUUGGAAUGAGUACAAUUUAAAUCCUUUAACGAGGAUCAAUUGGAGGGCAAGUCUGGUGCCAGCAGCCGCGGUAAUUCCAGCUCCAAUAGCGUAUACUAAAGUUGUUGCAGUUAAAACGCCCGCAGUCGAAUUUUAGUCUGUAGGUGGCCWUAUCAGCAUUCAUUUGUUGAUGUUGGUUUAUCUGGGACUUUUAACUGGAUCUCUCUUGACUUCGGUCUUGGGGUUGAACCAGUUGAUUACCAUGAGCAAAUCAGAGUGUUUAAAGCAGGCUUUUUAGCUUGAAUGUGUUAGCAUGGAAUAAUGAAAUAUGAUCUUUGGUCUAUUUUCGUUGGUUCAAGACCAAAAUAAUGAUGAAUAGGAGUGGUCGGGGGCAUUUGUAUUUGGGCGCUAGAGGUGAAAUUCUUGGAUUGCCCAAAGACAAACUACUGCGAAAGCAUUUGCCAAGGACGCUUCCGUUGAUCAGGGGCUAAGGUUAGGGGAUCGAAGACGAUUAGAUACCGUCGUAGUCUUAACAGCAAACUAUGCCGACUAGGGAUUGGACUUGGCUCUUAUGGCUUGUCCAGCACCUUAGCGAAAGCAAAGUUUUUGGGUUCUGGGGGGAGUACGGGACGCAAGGCUGAAACUUAAAGGAAUUGACGGAAGGGCACCACCAGGAGUGGAGCCUGCGGCUU